RNAcentral lists this unclassified non-coding RNA (417 nucleotides) under fungal sp. RNAcentral's name for it is "partial internal transcribed spacer region". The stretch from base 1 to 46 matches the Rfam family "Eukaryotic small subunit ribosomal RNA", at positions 1786 to 1831 of the family's 1831-position model. Lineage: Eukaryota; Fungi. The record is from RNAcentral.
AAGUCGUAACAAGGUUUCCGUAGGUGAACCUGCGGAAGGAUCAUUAACACGUAUCCAACGUUAAAACCCCUGUGAACCUUUAUUCGCCGCUCCCAGGGCUCAGUCGCGUAAAGUUAGCAAUCCCUGUACUCGUCCGAGAAAUGAAGGAGAAGGGACUUCUGGCAGUGCACCCUGGUUUCAGAGCGCUUGGUUAGUGGCUUGUUUUUCCCCAAGCAAUCAGUGAAUGAAAGUGUCACUGGUUGUCUAAGGAUUUCGCCUAAACAGCGAUCACUGGAGGUCGAUCACCGACCGGUGGAUCAAGUCACAGGAGCUUCGGCUUCCCUCCCCAACCCCACUUCCUAUUGCCGCUCCGCGCUAACAACGCCGGGCAUUAAAAAACGUACUAAACAACUGUUAACAAUGGAUAUCUUGGUUCUC